GUGUCAGCCGCCGCGGUAAUACGGAGGGUGCGAGCGUUGUUCGGAUUUAUUGGGCGUAAAGCGCGUGUAGGCGGUCUUUUAAGUCUGAUGUGAAAGCCCCGGGCUCAACCUGGGAAGUGCAUUGGAUACUGGGAGACUUGAAUACGGGAGAGGGUAGUGGAAUUCCUAGUGUAGGAGUGAAAUCCGUAGAUAUUAGGAGGAACACCGGUGGCGAAGGCGGCUACCUGGACCGAUAUUGACGCUGAGACGCGAAAGCGUGGGGAGCAAACAGGAUUAGAUACCCCGGUAGUCC
This 292-nucleotide ribosomal RNA is filed under the name uncultured bacterium. RNAcentral's name for it is "partial 16S ribosomal RNA". It matches the Rfam family "Bacterial small subunit ribosomal RNA", at positions 505 to 796 of the family's 1533-position model. The record is from RNAcentral.